GGCCCUGUGGCGCAAUGGUUAGCGCAUCGGACUUCUAUGAGUAGAGUCUGCCAUCCGAAGGCUGUGGGUAUGUAGAAAUCUUCGCCUCAUGGUUGGAUUUUGUGUUGACUCAAAGAUCAGGUUCGAAUCCCACCAGGGUCA
This is a non-coding RNA of Peltaster fructicola, 141 nucleotides long. The record is from the annotation of a GenBank genome assembly. NCBI's taxonomy places the organism in Eukaryota, Fungi, Ascomycota, Dothideomycetes.